CCUCUUCGUUGUUUCUUCUUCUUUCAAUGAUUUCUUUCUUCUGCAAUUAUUCUUACUAACUCUCUUCUUCUCAUGCUUGAUUCUCUUGCACAUGACUGAUCAAAGAUGAGAUUUCAACAGUUCAUACUCCGAGCAACCUCUUAUGAGGCCUGGAUCUGUUGCUUCUCAAGAUAAGUCUCAGGCUAGCACUAUUGUACAUGCUCAAGGUAACUAAAGAUUAUGCAGAGAGAUUUGAGGGCGGGAUUGAUAUAGUUAAUAUUGUGUUUAUCGUUACCAAAAAUUCCUUUGGAAUAUUCUUCAGAUUGAUUGUCGAGCCUAAUAAUUUUGGGCUGAUGGACAAUUUAAAAUUACUUUGGACGCUAAUAUGGCCUUCUUUGUAUGUAAGUUGCCUAAUAAAGGAUGAAACCGGGUUACUCUAAAAAAGACGUGGAUCCUUAGUGUAAUGGGUCGGAUUUUUUUUUUUUUUAAGAUUUCGGACAAAUUUGUCCUGAUCAAUUUAUCGAAUCAGGCUCCUUUUUAAUGAAUUCAGUGGCAAUUGCUAUAAA
Long non-coding RNA from Camelina sativa (false flax), 545 nucleotides. RefSeq lists it as uncharacterized. NCBI's taxonomy places the organism in Eukaryota, Viridiplantae, Streptophyta, Magnoliopsida, Brassicales, Brassicaceae. The record is from RefSeq and is a predicted model, not a curated record.